CCAGACUCCUACGGGAGGCAGCAGUGAGGAAUAUUGGUCAAUGGUCGGGAGACUGAACCAGCCAAGCCGCGUGAGGGAGGAAGGUACAGAGUAUCGUAAACCUCUUUUGUCAGGGAACAAAGGCGGGGACGUGUCCCCGGAUGAGUGUACCUGAAGAAAAAGCAUCGGCUAACUCCGUGCCAGCAGCCGCGGUAAUACGGAGGAUGCGAGCGUUAUCCGGAUUUAUUGGGUUUAAAGGGGGCGUAGGCGGAGUGCGAAGCGAGCGGUAAGAUCGCGGGGCUCAACCCCGCUCCGCCGUUGAAACUGGCGUUCUUGAGUGGGCGAGAAGUAUGCGGAAUGCGUGGUGUAGCAGUGAAAUGCAUAGAUAUCACGCAGAACCCCGAUUGCGAAGGCAGCAUACCGGCGCUCAACUGACGCUGAGGCACGAAAGUGCGGGUAUCGAACAGGAUUAGAUACCCCCGUACUG
RNAcentral lists this ribosomal RNA (466 nucleotides) under uncultured bacterium. RNAcentral describes it as "bacterial SSU rRNA". It matches the Rfam family "Bacterial small subunit ribosomal RNA", at positions 331 to 794 of the family's 1533-position model. The record is from RNAcentral.